This is a small nucleolar RNA of Mustela putorius furo (domestic ferret), 114 nucleotides long. NCBI's taxonomy places the organism in Eukaryota, Metazoa, Chordata, Mammalia, Carnivora, Mustelidae. The record is from Ensembl.
CAAAUUGUAUUUGUUUAGUUUGUGGACAAAGACAAGUGGGAAAAAUAAAUUCUUUUUUGUAAUCCAGAACUCAUUGUUCAAGUAUGCGUUUUGAUAUAGGUAAGAAGAAAUAUG